AGAGUUUGAUCCUGGCUCAGGAUGAACGCUAGCUACAGGCUUAACACAUGCAAGUCGAGGGGAAACGACAUCGAAAGCUUGCUUUCGAUGGGCGUCGACCGGCGCACGGGUGAGUAACGCGUAUCCAACCUGCCCAUCACUUGGGGAUAACCUUGCGAAAGUAAGACUAAUACCCAAUGACGUCUCUAGAAGACAUCUGAAGGAGAAUAAAGAUUUUUCGGUGGAUGGGAUGGGGAUGCGUCUGAUUAGCUUGUUGGCGGGGUAACGGCCCACCAAGGCGACGAUCAGUAGGGGUUCUGAGAGGAAGGUCCCCCACAUUGGAACUGAGACACGGUCCAAACUCCUACGGGAGGCAGCAGUGAGGAAUAUUGGUCAAUGGGCGAGAGCCUGAACCAGCCAAGUAGCGUGCAGGAUGACGGCCCUAUGGGUUGUAAACUGCUUUUAUAAGGGAAUAAAGUGAGCCUCGUGAGGCUUUUUGCAUGUACCUUAUGAAUAAGGACCGGCUAAUUCCGUGCCAGCAGCCGCGGUAAUACGGAAGGUCCGGGCGUUAUCCGGAUUUAUUGGGUUUAAAGGGAGCGUAGGCCGGAGAUUAAGCGUGUUGUGAAAUGUAGACGCUCAACGUCUGCACUGCAGCGCGAACUGGUUUCCUUGAGUACGCACAAAGUGGGCGGAAUUCGUGGUGUAGCGGUGAAAUGCUUAGAUAUCACGAAGAACUCCGAUUGCGAAGGCAGCUCACUGGAGCGCAACUGACGCUGAAGCUCGAAAGUGCGGGUAUCGAACAGGAUUAGAUACCCUGGUAGUCCGCACGGUAAACGAUGGAUGCCCGCUGUUGGUCUGAAUAGGUCAGCGGCCAAGCGAAAGCAUUAAGCAUCCCACCUGGGGAGUACGCCGGCAACGGUGAAACUCAAAGGAAUUGACG
This 919-nucleotide ribosomal RNA is filed under the name uncultured bacterium. Its description in RNAcentral is "bacterial SSU rRNA". It matches the Rfam family "Bacterial small subunit ribosomal RNA", at positions 8 to 915 of the family's 1533-position model. The record is from RNAcentral.